GUGAGUAUGAGUUGUAUAUUUGUACUUGUAUAGUUAGUUACUGUACAAUUGUAGUGGAAAUGUAUUGUAAGUUCGUGUAAUGCUUACUUUAUUGUAUUGGUAUAGUACUGUAUCAUAGUAAGUUUGUAUUUUCUUAUGUAAGACAGACUGUAUUUUGUGACAGGGACAAUUCUUGUGACAUUUGACAAAUAUUAUGGACAUACACAUGUUAUGAUGAGGACAUCAUUUCUGAACUGGGGGAAGUGUGUAACCAGUCAAAAAUUCUAUUUAAAAGUUGUCUCCCUUGUGUGCAUAGUUGUUUUUGGCCUAUUUUCUUUCCUGUACAUUGAAUCUGUUGGGCAAGUUUUCUUUCCCGCUCUGGCAGUAGUAUUUCAUGAGUUGAGCUGGAAGGACAUGCUUUUUUUCAAAUUUAAUUUAAGAGCCGUGCUUCUUUGAGAGCUUAACAUCUUCACGGAGAAUCCUGUGUGUAAGAUCAGUGUGUGAGGGUAAAGCAGCCAUUCCAUAAAUGGUUGUCUUCAUAUCUGGAAUUCAACAUUGAAUAUUGAAUAUUUAAUAUGUAGUACUAUAAUAAAGUAUAAAACAACCUUAUAAAAGGUUUACAUGUCUUAAAUCUUCCUGAACAUUAACGAACCCGCACUCGUGAAAC
Dreissena polymorpha is the source of this 646-nucleotide long non-coding RNA. RefSeq lists it as uncharacterized. The transcript has 3 exons. Lineage: Eukaryota; Metazoa; Mollusca; Bivalvia; Myida; Dreissenidae. The record is from RefSeq and is a predicted model, not a curated record.